This 497-nucleotide ribosomal RNA is filed under the name uncultured bacterium. Its description in RNAcentral is "partial 16S ribosomal RNA". It matches the Rfam family "Bacterial small subunit ribosomal RNA", at positions 28 to 507 of the family's 1533-position model. The record is from RNAcentral.
GAUGAACGCUGGCGGCGUGCCUAAUACAUGCAAGUCGAGCGAACAGACGAGGAGCUUGCUCCUCUGACGUUAGCGGCGGACGGGUGAGUAACACGUGGAUAACCUACCUAUAAGACUGGGAUAACUUCGGGAAACCGGAGCUAAUACCGGAUAAUAUAUUGAACCGCAUGGUUCAAUAGUGAAAGACGGUUUUGCUGUCACUUAUAGAUGGAUCCGCGCCGCAUUAGCUAGUUGGUAAGGUAACGGCUUACCAAGGCAACGAUGCGUAGCCGACCUGAGAGGGUGAUCGGCCACACUGGAACUGAGACACGGUCCAGACUCCUACGGGAGGCAGCAGUAGGGAAUCUUCCGCAAUGGGCGAAAGCCUGACGGAGCAACGCCGCGUGAGUGAUGAAGGUCUUCGGAUCGUAAAACUCUGUUAUUAGGGAAGAACAAAUGUGUAAGUAAAUAUGCACGUCUUGACGGUACCUAAACAGAAAGCCACGGCUAACUACGUG